ACGAGUCUCUCUUCUUUCCCUCUGUCUACCGCGCGCGCCCGCCGCCACCCCGCGCCCACCCCACCGUGCGCCGGCUCGCGCGCCGCCACCCAGCGCGGCCCGCCCUCGCCACCCUGCGGCCCUGCCGCCGCCCCACCGCACGCGCUCCGCCGCCCCACCAUUAAGGCAGGUGAUGCGGCCGACAAGGGGGCGGCGCUCGGGAACUCACAGAGUCAUGUCGUGCUGGGGAGGCACGGGAUUCGGAUCCGGCCGUGGCCGCACCUGGACCCCGUCGAGGUGAUGCGGGCGCACCAGAUCAUAGAGCACGUGCAGGAGGAACAGCACCGCUGGUACGACGUCAAGGAGCCGAGGCAGGUGCUCGCCGUCACCCCGACCAACUCACGCGCGUUCCAGGCGCUCCACCUCACCGGCCUCCUCCACUCACUCCGUCGGAAUCCUUGCGCAUACUGGCACGACAGACCAACUACGGCUCAGCGAGGAGGACAAGCAGAAUAUGCCUCUUCCAGUCCAUGGCCCUGCUUGCAACUCCUCAGGGCAUCUGAUUGGAUGGCACACGUUCAACUCAUUGCCCUUCUCUGGGAAGACGGCCACAGUUGUUGGUGAAGCUGCCCCUGUUCUGCCCAGGGAUUUGGAGUGGGCUGGUUUUGUGUUGAACUCGAGGAUGUUGUGGAAGGAGGCUGACGACAAGCCUGACUGGGUGAAGGAUCUUGAUGCUGUGGGCGAGAAUGGCGAGGAGAUUGAGAACCCACUUACUCUGUUGAAUGAUCCGUCCUCUGUUGAGCCACUGGGCAACUGUGGGAAGAAUGUCCUACUGUGGUGGCUUCGUGUUGAAGCACGGGCUGAUAGCAAGUUUCCUGAAGGAAAGUGUCCUUAGAGAAUGGAUUAAUUUUGGUUGACACAAAGUAUGAGUUUGGAAAAACAUCUGAUGGGACAAUUGUGUUGAUUGAUGAGGUUAUACUUCUGACGUUAUUCUGCAAAAGCUUUUUAAUCUUGUGCUCAUUCUACCUAGUAACUAGCGGAAGAAUAUAAAUAUGCAUUCUGACAUCAUAAGUUCAUAACAGUGAAAAUGCAUUAUGUAGAAUCAUAUAGUACUAACUAGUUAUUAUAUGCUUAGAUGUAGGCAGAGUUGUUAUAUCAUUAACUGAUACUUCAUGUAGUUGAAAACUUUUUGUUCUGAGUAUUAUCUAUUUUUUUAUAAUUAUGUUGAGUACAAUUGAAUGGUAACUUUUGAGAUAUUGAAAUGCUGAAUAGUUAGGUUUAUAAAAUUAAUGUUAUCUGCUAGAAUAUGCCUUUUCUGUGGUGUGGGCAGUGGGCUUGGCCAUUCCUGUGUGUCUAAGGCCCAGCCUAAGGUGCUGCGCCACCUGUUCUCAUCCCUGUGUACGCCUGCCUAUAUAUGUGUACUAUUCCCGCAAUCAAUAAUACACACAAUCAUAUGGCAGUAUAUCUCCUAUCAUUAUCCUCUUUUUAUGAAGCAGGUUCAUACUCCUGACUCCAACAGAUAUUGGAUUGCUAAUUCAUACGAAUAUAGAUUCAUAUCUGGCCUUGAACCUGAAAAUGUUGAUAAGGAGUUUUUAAGGCUUUGGUUCAAGAACAACUGCAAUCCAUAUGAAGACACAGUAUAUUUUCUUCAUACAGUUGUUAGAAUCACUUGUGAAUUUUGUUCCAUAAUGAUCCAACUCAUCUUUUUUUAGUGAAAACUUACGUGUACCCCAAAAUAUUCAGGUUCUGCCAGAAGCUCUAGAAGAGUUGGUAUGUUAGUUGGCCUAGCAGUAUGUAUCUCUAUAAGUUUCUGCCGUUGUUUCUCACUUCAAAGUUGAUACUCAUGAGGCCUUAUCGUCUGAAAGAAGAAAUGGUCAUCCAAAGAUCAUCCACCGUGACAUUAAGGCAUCUAACAUUCUUCUUGACUUCAAAUUUGAAGCUAAUGUCGCUGACUUUGGACUUGCAAAGUUCACUACUGAUAAUAACACCCAUGUUUCGACAAGAGUAAUGGGCACCUUUGGCUCUAGGUAUUUGGCACCUGAGUAUGCAGCAUCUGGCAAGCUCACAGAAAAUCCGAUGUAUUUUCUUUCGGAGUCAUGCUUCUUGAGCUUAUUACUGGGCGGCGACCAAUUGUCACAACCCAAUUGGCACUGCUUGCUAUAAGCACAUAUGUACUUCCAUUUGCAUGUUGUAUAAUACUAAUACCAAUUGCAAAAUUAUAGUUAUUUUUUCUACCCUUGUUAGUUAAUAAGCAUAUUUCUGGUCAAUAGGUUGUAUUCUUAUUCUUGUAACCGUGUUAAUUAAUGUUAUAUACUUGUAGUCUCGUAUUACCUUGUGAAUAUAUCUGUCCCUGCCUGCCA
RNA transcript from Zea mays, 2339 nucleotides. RefSeq lists it as uncharacterized. Lineage: Eukaryota; Viridiplantae; Streptophyta; Magnoliopsida; Poales; Poaceae. The transcript has 6 exons. The record is from RefSeq and is a predicted model, not a curated record.